ACGAAGGGUGCAAGCGUUACUCGGAAUUACUGGGCGUAAAGCGUGCGUAGGUGGUUGUUUAAGUCUGUCGUGAAAGCCCUGGGCUCAACCUGGGAAUUGCGAUGGAUACUGGGCGACUAGAGUGUGGUAGAGGGUGGCGGAAUUCCCGGUGUAGCAGUGAAAUGCGUAGAGAUCGGGAGGAACAUCCGUGGCGAAGGCGGCUCCCUGGGCCGGUCCUGACGCUCAGGCGCGAAAGCGUGGGGAGCGAUCCGGA
RNAcentral lists this ribosomal RNA (253 nucleotides) under uncultured prokaryote. Its description in RNAcentral is "partial 16S ribosomal RNA". It matches the Rfam family "Bacterial small subunit ribosomal RNA", at positions 525 to 777 of the family's 1533-position model. The record is from RNAcentral.